Molecule: ribosomal RNA, 433 nt
Filed under: uncultured Anaerolineaceae bacterium
Lineage: Bacteria; Bacillati; Chloroflexota; Anaerolineae; Anaerolineales; Anaerolineaceae
Description: bacterial SSU rRNA
Rfam family: Bacterial small subunit ribosomal RNA
Source: RNAcentral
AGCGGAGCGUGUGGUUAAUUCGUUGCUACACGAAGAACCUUACCUGGGUUGACAUAUAGGUUGUAGGGAACUGAAAAGGGACCGACCUUCGGGAGCCUAUACAGGUGUUGCAUGACUGUCGUCAGCUCGUGUCGUGAGAUGUUCGGUUAAGUCCGCUAACGAGCGCAACCCUCGUCGUAUGUUAUAUGUGUCAUACGAGACUGCCGGUAAAAGCCGGAGGAAGGUGAGGAUGAUGUCAAGUCAGCAUGACCUUUAUAUCCAGGGCUACACACACGCUACAAUGGUCUGUACAAUGGGUAGCCAAGCCGCGAGGCGGAGCCAAUCCUGAAAGCAGGCCUCAGUUCAGGUUGCAGUCUGCAACUCGACUGCAUGAAGCCGGAGUUGCUAGUAACCGCAGGUCAGCAAUACUGCGGUGAAUACGUUCCCGGGUCUU